Long non-coding RNA from Stegodyphus dumicola, 2089 nucleotides. The record is from RefSeq and is a predicted model, not a curated record. NCBI's taxonomy places the organism in Eukaryota, Metazoa, Arthropoda, Arachnida, Araneae, Eresidae.
UUUGCAUUGCUUGCAUAAGAAUUAGUUACUAUUUAAUGUUAAUUCAUUAUUAAAAACUAUAUUUUCCUUAUUUAAAAAGUUUUUUGUCAUAGGUUGGCAAGUAUGCAUUAUAAGUGUCUUAAAUUAUAUGGAGAUUAUGUAAAAAAAAUAGCUGAAUAACGUGCCUUUUAAACAUAAGUAAUAAAAAAUGUUAAUUUUUUUUUAAUUUAUUUAUUUAUUCUAAAACUUCAGUUUUUUUUUUCUGAAUAGCAUACAUAUGUUAGUAGUGAUGUUUGGUGAAUGGAGUGCAAAAAUAUGUUCAAAAUUGUAUUAGAUAAAUUAUGUCUGAUUAAAUAAUAGCUAUUAAACACAAGCUGUAUGAUAAUUGGGGAAAGAGGUUAUAGGGGCUGAUUGAUGAAAACGAUAGACUUUCAGAUGAAAUGGUGGUGCUGUAAAAAAGUAACGUAAUGUAUUUUUUAAAAUAUAAAAAAUUACCAAAUUAACGGUUUUUACUAAUUAUUAUUUCAAAUGAGUUUAAGGGUAGCUUCCCUCUUUCCAAAAUUAAAAAUAACUGAAUUGUUUGGUAAAUUUUAUUCAAGUUGUGCAUUUCAGUUACUUGUUCAGAGUCUUUGGGCCAUUACAAUCUGCCCUCUAUCAAAUUCGCUUAGAUCAGCAGCCCUUCCCAUCACUCUCAAAAGUAAGUGCAAAGAUUCAUUUCUUUCUUCAGCUGCAGUUCAGUACAAUUCCUACUUAAUCACAUACCCUCCACAUCAUCCAGAUGAGUUCAUUGAAAAAUGUGAGGAUGGUCAUAAUAUUUUUUUCUUGUCAGUGUAUGUGUAUCCAGCAUACUAUUCAUUAUCUUGUUUGUACAAUGAAUUAGGUUGCUGUAUUUUCAAUGAAAAUCGUGUUUUAAUUCAUUGAAGGGAAAAGUUUCUUACAGAGAAGAACUAGUGACAAAUAUAUAUUAAAUAGAAAUCUUAUAUCUAGGUAAAAGAAGUCAUUCUUCAUUUGAAUUUUAAGCUCUGUCAUAGUCAGCAGUGUAGAUUAGGACUUAAUAAUAUAGAUAUGCCGUGUAUGAAUUUCAUAUGAAGUGAGUAAAACUAUUAAAAGCCAUUGUAAGGUUAAUAAAAAAUUCUAUAAUCGUAUUAAAAGCCUAUGUCAGGUUAAUAAAAAGAUAGUCAUAUUAAAACCAAUUUUCUCUGUGUGUGGGGGGGGGAUGUUGGUAUGUCAUAAGUUAAUUCUUUGAUCUCACACAUACUGUCAUACUAAUGCAUAUCAUUAGCAUCAUCCAUUAUUAUUUAAACUGGAACAUUAAAUUUAAGCAAAGUGAAAGAUGUCUGUCUGCUUACAAUUCUAAAGUUCGACUAAAUGGUUUAUCCUUCCUGUAAUUUGUACCUGCUUAUGUUAAAUUCUUUCCGAAUUCACACAGAAUUCAGUCGCAGCUCUGUAAUUAUAUAGAAUUGUUCCUUAUUUUCAUUAAACAUCCACUCACAAUAAGAUAUUGUAGGCUCUGGCUUAUUCUGUUUAAGGAUCAGAGUAUUUGAUAAGUAAUUUUUUAUGUAGUUUCUGUAUAUCAGAUUUGACAGAACACAGAAGAUGCUAAAUAAUUUAAUAUCAAAUUAAUAAGAAUGCAACUUUCUUUAAAUGAUAGGAAAGUUUGUAAAAAUGGAUUCUGAAAUGAAAAUCUUCAUCGAUUCAUUCAGAACUUCAUCGAUUUUCAAAGAUUUGUGGUCUUAUCAAACUGCUUGUAGAUUUAGCAACAAACAUAAUGUUUGGGUCUUUUAUAGGUAAAGUUACUGAAUUUAAUUUAAAGAGUAGAUUUUUAGUACUGAAAAAAGAGUAAACCUUUUCAAAUUCAGUCAUGCAUGUAACAAAGUGUAAAAAGGAAAAAUAGCAAAAAUGAGAUUUUUCAUUUAUUAAAAGGUAAUUUUUUAAUAAUUAAAAUACAUCCUACUGAAAUAAAUAAACACAAAUAUUAAGGCACACUUGCAUGUAUGUCUUAAAGUACAAAAGUAGAAAAUAAAAGGUAUAACACAUGAGCAGAGCGACUUUGUUGCUUCGUACGUACUAAUAUAACAUUUCAAAUAUGCACUUAAAAAAAAAAAAAAAA